Molecule: long non-coding RNA, 1335 nt
Filed under: Erythranthe guttata (spotted monkey flower)
Lineage: Eukaryota; Viridiplantae; Streptophyta; Magnoliopsida; Lamiales; Phrymaceae
Description: long non-coding RNA (EGUT_LNC000848)
Source: RNAcentral
GAUGAGGCAGAACGAAUCAGAAACGGCAUGCUCACUUGGAGGUCUGCAGUCGAAAACAGGUUUCUUGAGAAAAGGCCAACUACCGAAAGCGAUAAUCAAAGAGGUAGUGUCUGAUAAAAAACUCUUUCUUCUGUAUAUUCAUUAUAUCUUCCAGAGAAUACAUAAGAAUGUUUAUAUAACAUUUACAAGGAAUCUAUUCUAGGAAUAUAAUAACAACUAUACACUAAUUUAGGCUAAACUGAAUAUUACAUAAUCUUUCAUCUUCUCUAGGCAUGGGCUUGGAUUAUGAGGCAACGUUUUCUGACGACGAUGACUUGGCUAGCGAGGUUAUUCUUUAAAUAUUUGGUUUUUGUAAUUCCUUAAUGAAAUGUAUUGGAGUUAUAGGAAAUUAAAAAGGAACCAUUCUUUGUCAUUUUGGAGGGGAAUAUCGUGAAUGGUUGGAGUUUGAUUGAUUCUGUUCAAAAGGAACAAUAGAGUGAUUUGGUGAUUGUUCUUAUAUCCGCUGUUUUAGUUUCUACAUGGGUUUGUGAUUCAGACUUUCUCAAUAUUUUCUCUCUCGUAUCAUCGUUUCUGCGUUGGUUCUUGGUUCUUGAUUCGUGGUUUAAACCCCUACGAUAUAAAAAAUAUUGGUUCAGCCUCUUAUUCUUACACCCUCAGUUUCAGUCUUUCUACAAGGCUUCUAAAUUCCUUCAAAUUUUGCUAUAUAUUGCUAUAGCAAUGGAAUGCUGCACUCAUUUAAGCCAAUUAAAAUGUAUAAGUUAAGCAUAUCUCUGCUUCUGCUUUUUUUUUUCCAUGUGUUUAUGUGCAUGUGUGUUAAUGCGUAUUCAUGUUAGUUUGUGUUUUGCGGAAGCGCUUUGUAUGGAUGCAGAGUUAGUGUGCGUUUAAGGGGUAUGUGUUCUAGUAGGUAGUGCACCAUUGACUCAAUUUUGUUGUAAAAUAUAAAAACCUCCCAACUUGACAAAAUACAUAGUGUAUGACCUCAUUCCAAAUCCGUUUGCAUCAGUUUCACGGUUUCUUUAGCAUUAUUGUAAAAGGAGAGAAUGAAAAAUGAAAUAACAAAAGUAGAUAUGUUUGUUGAAUAGUUAGAGUUGCAUUUAAGGCUUUGCAUCAAAUUAGUACUUAUGUGUCUAUAUUCACUUUAAUUGGCAGCAAUUUCUCAAAGAUAUGCUGAAGCUUCUGUGCGUGUACAUCGACAAUGGUGCCAAUCAAGGGUCAUACAAGCUCAAACCUGAAUAUCGAGGAUCAGACAAGAAAGAUAACUAGUACAAUGCUAUUCUUUUGAAUAUAUGUUUUGAACUUUACUCGAGAAUUUAGUGACUUGUCUUUUGGAAAAAC